This is a long non-coding RNA of Dromaius novaehollandiae (emu), 2768 nucleotides long. RefSeq lists it as uncharacterized. The record is from RefSeq and is a predicted model, not a curated record. NCBI's taxonomy places the organism in Eukaryota, Metazoa, Chordata, Aves, Casuariiformes, Dromaiidae. The transcript has 3 exons.
UAUAUGGCUGCAGGGAAACAAAACCAAUACAAGCCUGCUGUGAUUCCUGUACAGAGAGACGGCUGGAAAGUUCACAGCCCUUUCAAGUUAUUCACAUUCCUCCCUCCCAGCAUGGGGGGAAGGAAAGGAGGGCUGCAGGGUUGUCCUCUAUGCACAAAACUAAUGGUGCUAAAUAUGUCACACAUUUAAACAGCAUUUCAUCUCCACGUAGAGCAACCUACUCCUAUACUCCAAUGAUACUUCCUGGCACCUUAUAAUAAACUUCUAUAGUGACCCCAAGGAGCAGAUAAGCAAGGUCAUCCCUGGCUUAGGUGAGGGAAACUGAGGCAGAUUGUCUGCAAAGGAUACAUGCAUUAGAGGCACAUUAAAACCCAUGAAUGCUGCUCCUAUUUCUCACAUCUAAUUACUACAUAUGCUCCCUCUCUGCCCCCGCAGGAUUGAAUGUCUUUGGUGGGGACUGAAUUCAGGACUUAAUUAUUGAACACUGCAAGGAUGCCAAGAAGUUCCCUAAGACCUUUAGUUACCUCAGUGGCCAGCAACAACGAAGUGGAGAAGGCCCUGCCCUCCUCCUCCAGGGAUUAUCUUCCAGGUGCAUCUUUUAUCACCGCUUACUUCACAUUGUGCCCAGUCCAACUCAUUACUAAUAACUCAGGUUCGUUCUCUUUGGUCAUCCAACCACCUCCUGCCCGCCAGAGACCAAACUGAUCCACACGCUCUUCAAGGCUACGAAAUUCGCUGCAACCUUCCCACACAAACCACAGGAACGCGACCCUCCCUGUGUUCAACCAGACCUAGCACUGGCCCAAGGCCACGUGCAGUGGAGAAGAGGACAAUGAGGUGAAACAAGAUGUAAACUUGGUCUUCUUUAGACUUGCAAGAGACCCUGCCACGUCCCCUACUAACGGCAGACAAAACUAGCUGCCUUUUGAAGCUGUUCCUUCUGCCACAUAUGUCAGAUCAGGCUGCGGGUACUUCCCAGUGAGCGAUAGCUCCUCCGUCCAGAGCUCCGACACAACCCGGCAGGCUGCCGUUGCUCCGUUCCUACCUCCUCCUGCUCCUUGCUCUAUCUCCUGGCCUCUGUCUGACCCCAGCUCAGUGCUCAUUUCUCCUGAUGGCUGAAUCAAUCCUUUUGCUGAACUCUUUCCUUCACCGCUGUCUCCUCUGGCUUUUUCACCUCUCUCCUGCUGUUUGCACCCAGCACUUCUAACACGUCCCCAUCGCUUGAGACCUCUGUUCUUGCUCCUAUGCCCGUGGCCACGUUUGAGGGAUGCCCUAUGGUGGACGUCGCACCCAGAUGGCUCUCCUCUGCUCCUGUCCUCCGCUCUCUCCCUUGUCAAAGCAGUGCUACUUUCAGACUCACAAUCCUACUGCCUGCAAAUCCCUCCAGACAAAGCCUCUGCUCCCACUGUCCCUUCCACCGCUCACAUGAUUUCACUGGUUUCUUCAGACACUGAAAACUGGUAAGAUCAGCCAAGGACUCCCACCCACCAUAUUUGUCUCCUGCCUUUUUUUGAGGAACUCGCGGAAAGAUUUCCUGACUUCACACACACAGCGAUUCCUGCCGGCCUCUCUCCAUCCCACAUAUCUUCUGCUUGAUUCAGCCUUGUCCUUAAGCCCUUCCCUGCCUCACUUUACUUGCAACUACAACUUGGUUCCCCUCUCCCUCGAUCCAAUGACUCCCCUCACCAAUGACCGAAAGCCAUCUAGGUCUACUCCAUCUUAGCAUUAGGUCCCUACCAAUCCUGCUCUUCCCACUCCCCCAGGAGUCUCUAAUGAGAGAACGACAAUAUACCGCCUGCUAGGAUUCAUUCUAGCCAUCUGCUAUCCAUCGAGGUACUUUUACUGCACCUCUAGCUGUGCCAUCUCAGCAUCAGAGACAGCGUGAGGGGGGGUGGUAAGAACUCAAACAAAGGCAAGAGGUAAUGAUUAGAAAGAGACUCCUGAUUUGUCAGAAGCCAUCAGAGACGUCUCUAACAGGGCUGAUUUAUAUAGCGUAUUUCAAAUAGAAAACAAACAAGUACAGAGCAAUGUGAAAAUACUUGUGAAGGCCAAGCAAGCUAUAAACAUUUGCAAGGCGCAUGCUUGCCUUAGGUUUCUUUUUAUCUCUUUAAGGGCCUAUGCCCCAUGGUGCCUUUUAUUGUCACUGCACAUGGAAACAAGCCCAAAAGAUCACUCUCAGAGUAUCCCACAGAAAUGAAUCCUGCUUCAGUCCUCUGUUGUAACAGGAAAUGGUGUGAUUUUUCUUUUUUGUUUAUUGUUAGUUCCUGCAUCAAUCAGUGGUUUGCUGAAGAUCACAAGGGUUAUUUUUUCUUCUUGUUGCUGUCUGCUUUUGGAAGUAAAGGAUGGUUGUGCUGAAAACAACUUAAGUUUUUCUACCCUAUGUUUGUGAACUAUAGUAUAUGACACAGACUGGUUAUUGCCCUAAAAGGGCUAGAAUUGUUCCAUCAGCUUAGAAACACGAGUACUUGAUAACCACCUUUACACUGUUUCAUUGAGCCUGCAAAACUACUAUGUCUCACAUUUUCUGUUUAUUUUUAUCUUGUUCCAAAAGGAACAAGAGGCUUGCCUCAAAGAGCCUCAAAGGUUGCAUAAGAGGGGAGAGAUCUACUCCCACACGGGCAUAUAGCACAGCUUCAAAAUCAGGGAUACUCACAGCUUGCUUAGGUUUUCUAGGCCAGUAAAGGCUCCAUUGGUAUCUUCUAUUGUGCCUGCGAUCUCGUUGUGGUCCAGAUCCCUGGGGAGAGGAGGCAAGAGUUCACAAUCAGUGU